UAGGGAAUCUUCCGCAAUGGGCGAAAGCCUGACGGAGCAACGCCGCGUGAGUGAUGAAGGUCUUCGGAUCGUAAAACUCUGUUAUUAGGGAAGAACAAAUGUGUAAGUAACUAUGCACGUCUUGACGGUACCUAAUCAGAAAGCCACGGCUAACUACGUGCCAGCAGCCGCGGUAAUACGUAGGUGGCAAGCGUUAUCCGGAAUUAUUGGGCGUAAAGCGCGCGUAGGCGGUUUUUUAAGUCUGAUGUGAAAGCCCACGGCUCAACCGUGGAGGGUCAUUGGAAACUGGAAAACUUGAGUGCAGAAGAGGAAAGUGGAAUUCCAUGUGUAGCGGUGAAAGGCGCAGAGAUAUGGAGGAACACCAGUGGCGAAGGCGACUUUCUGGUCUGUAACUGACGCUGAUGUGCGAAAGCGUGGGGAUCAAACAGG
Molecule: ribosomal RNA, 429 nt
Filed under: Actinomycetes bacterium
Lineage: Bacteria; Bacillati; Actinomycetota; Actinomycetes
Description: Actinobacteria bacterium partial 16S ribosomal RNA
Rfam family: Bacterial small subunit ribosomal RNA
Source: RNAcentral